RNAcentral lists this ribosomal RNA (253 nucleotides) under uncultured bacterium. RNAcentral's name for it is "partial 16S ribosomal RNA". It matches the Rfam family "Bacterial small subunit ribosomal RNA", at positions 524 to 776 of the family's 1533-position model. The record is from RNAcentral.
UACGUAGGGGGCAAGCGUUGUCCGGAAUUAUUGGGCGUAAAGAGCGUGUAGGCGGUCCGGUAAGUCAGCUGUGAAAGUCAAGGGCUCAACCCUUGAAUGCCGGUUGAUACUGUCGGGCUAGAGUCCGGAAGAGGCGAGUGGAAUUCCCGGUGUAGCGGUGAAAUGCGUAGAUAUUGGGAGGAACACCAGUGGCGAAGGCGGCUCACUGGACCGGAACUGACGCUGAGGCGCGAAAGCGUGGGGAGCGAACAGG